RNAcentral lists this long non-coding RNA (1622 nucleotides) under Homo sapiens (human). RNAcentral's name for it is "HSALNT0390147". The record is from RNAcentral. Lineage: Eukaryota; Metazoa; Chordata; Mammalia; Primates; Hominidae.
CCCAUCUCUACUAAAACAAACAAACAAACAAACAAAAAAGGAAAAUUCUGCCUCUGCCACUUACUAGCUGUGUGAGCUCAGUAGCAGACACCAACCAGGUACUUACCAGCUCUGUGCUUCAGUUUCCUCCCCUAUCAACAGAGAUGAUAAUAGUAGCGCCUAUCUCUACAGGGUUGUUAUGAGACUUAAAUGAGAUAAUCCAAAUAAAGCAGCUGGCCCAGUGCCCAGCACAGAAGUAUUAGAUUUGAUGAUGAGGAAGACAUAGCAGAUGUACUGACUUGGAAUAACAUCCACAGUGUAGGAAAAAACCAAGUUGUGGAACAAUAUAUCCAGCAUUCAACACAGCAGCCAAGAGCCCCGUGUGUCCCCUUUAAAUGCAAAUGAAUUUAAAUAGAAAAUUCAGUUGCUUAACCACACUAGCCACACUUUAAGCACCUGGUAGCACUACAUGGCUCGCAGCUAUGGCACUGGACACACAGAUCUAGGACAUUUUCAUCAUCACAGAAAGUUCUAUUGGACAGCACUGAAUAGCACGAGCCCAUUUUUAUAAUUAAAAAAAAGGGUGUACACUUAUAAAAGCAGCAGAAAUAUUUGGAAGGAAACCAUGCCCCUGCUCUGAAAGAACAGGACGGUAGAGCAAGAAGAAAAUGAAGCAGGCUGGGACUCCCUGAGCAGCGCAGCCCCUUUACAGAAAACCUGUUUGAAGAGGCAUCAAAACUGUUCAUCUUGGCCGGAAGCGGUGGCUCAUGCCUGUAAUCCCAGCACUUCGGGAGGCUGAGAAUCUAAAUCCCAUGAAGACAGGGACACUGCUUUGCUGCCUGCUAUGUCUCCAGCACUUAGAACAGUGCCUGGCACAUCACAGAGCCUCAAUAAUAUUUGCUGAAUGAAUGAGCAGGUGAGUGCCUAUGUAUCACAUGUUGCCCACAGCUCCCUGCUGCCUGGGGUGUGACAACAACCAGGGUGUCCAAAGGACACACAAUUCUCUCUCCGCCAGCCUGGAAUAGCCUUGGAGAUUUCACACUAUUCUAUGGGGGUUCCCUGCCCCUCAAGAAACCUGAUGGCCUAGACCUGAAGCACAGCUUCGCUGGCAGGUUAGAGACCACAGCCAUCACACGGGCCAACAGACAAACCUAACAGAAGCCAGCCCGGAGACCGGGCUCUACCCACACAACCCAUGCCAGGGCUACCCACAGCAAGGCCCCCUGAGCUGGGCAGGAUUCUCUGCUGGGUCACUGCAGACAGAAAAUGAGGAGAGAAAGAGACCAAUUCUAGAGCGUACUUUUUUUGUUUGUUUUGAAGAGGAAACCCAUCAUGAAGGUUACUGAAAAAUUUGGUUAUGGUUAUUUAAGGCUUUCUGGAAUUUCAGUGUGUGGAGAUCAAGCUGACCUUGCUGUAAAAAGCACUGGGGAGGUCGGGCAUAGUGGCUCACACCUGUAAUCCCAGCACUUUUGGAGGCCAAGGUGGGUGGAUCACAUGAGGCCAAGAGUUCAGACCAGUGUGGCCAACAUGGCAAAAUCCUAUGUCCACUGGAAAUACAAGAAUCACCUGGGUGUGGCAGUGCAUGUCUGUAAUCCCAGCUCCUGGAGAGACUGAGGCACUUGAGCUGGGAGGCAAAGGCUGCA